UACGAAGGGGGCUAGCGUUGUUCGGAUUUACUGGGCGUAAAGCGCACGUAGGCGGAUCUUUAAGUCAGAGGUGAAAUCCCAAGGCUCAACCUUGGAACUGCCUUUGAUACUGGGGAUCUCGAGUCCGGGAGAGGUGAGUGGAACUGCGAGUGUAGAGGUGAAAUUCGUAGAUAUUCGGAAGAACACCAGUGGCGAAGGCGGCUCACUGGCCCGGUACUGACGCUGAGGUGCGAAAGCGUGGGGAGCAAACAGG
Molecule: ribosomal RNA, 253 nt
Filed under: uncultured bacterium
Lineage: Bacteria
Description: partial 16S ribosomal RNA
Rfam family: Bacterial small subunit ribosomal RNA
Source: RNAcentral